Molecule: ribosomal RNA, 548 nt
Filed under: uncultured bacterium
Lineage: Bacteria
Description: bacterial SSU rRNA
Rfam family: Bacterial small subunit ribosomal RNA
Source: RNAcentral
CGCAGUUAACACAAUAAGUAUCCCACCUGGGGAGUACGAUCGCAAGGUUGAAACUCAAAGGAAUUGACGGGGGCCCGCACAAGCGGUGGAGUAUGUGGUUUAAUUCGAAGCAACGCGAAGAACCUUACCAGGGCUUGACAUCCUGCUAACGAAGUAGAGAUACAUUAGGUGCCCUUCGGGGAAAGCAGAGACAGGUGGUGCAUGGUUGUCGUCAGCUCGUGUCGUGAGAUGUUGGGUUAAGUCCCGCAACGAGCGCAACCCUUAUUGUUAGUUGCUACGCAAGAGCACUCUAGCGAGACUGCCGUUGACAAAACGGAGGAAGGUGGGGACGACGUCAAAUCAUCAUGCCCCUUAUGUCCUGGGCCACACACGUACUACAAUGGCGGUAAACAGAGGGAAGCAAGACCGCGAGGUGGAGCAAAUCCCUAAAAGCCGUCCCAGUUCGGAUUGCAGGCUGAAACCCGCCUGUAUGAAGUUGGAAUCGCUAGUAAUCGCGGAUCAGCAUGCCGCGGUGAAUACGUUCCCGGGCCUUGCACACACCGCCCGUC